RNAcentral lists this ribosomal RNA (400 nucleotides) under uncultured bacterium. RNAcentral's name for it is "bacterial SSU rRNA". It matches the Rfam family "Bacterial small subunit ribosomal RNA", at positions 359 to 776 of the family's 1533-position model. The record is from RNAcentral.
GAAUAUUGGACAAUGGGCGCAAGCCUGAUCCAGCCAUGCCGCGUGAGUGAUGAAGGCCUUAGGGUUGUAAAGCUCUUUCGUCCGGGACGAUAAUGACGGUACCGGAAGAAGAAGCCCCGGCUAACUUCGUGCCAGCAGCCGCGGUAAUACGAAGGGGGCUAGCGUUGUUCGGAAUCACUGGGCGUAAAGGGCGCGUAGGCGGCUUUGUAAGUCGGGGGUGAAAGCCUGUGGCUCAACCACAGAAUUGCCUUCGAUACUGCAUGGCUUGAGACCGGAAGAGGUAAGUGGAACUGCGAGUGUAGAGGUGAAAUUCGUAGAUAUUCGCAAGAACACCAGUGGCGAAGGCGGCUUACUGGUCCGGUUCUGACGCUGAGGCGCGAAAGCGUGGGGAGCAAACAGG